This is a long non-coding RNA of Syngnathoides biaculeatus (alligator pipefish), 706 nucleotides long. RefSeq lists it as uncharacterized. The record is from RefSeq and is a predicted model, not a curated record. NCBI's taxonomy places the organism in Eukaryota, Metazoa, Chordata, Actinopteri, Syngnathiformes, Syngnathidae. The transcript is spliced from 3 exons.
GUACGUGUAUGCGACAACGCAGUGUCCCCCUUUGAGUGGGCUUUUUUCCUGAGUGGCAAGUCAGGAAGUGAGAUUAUGACAGGAAGUGACUGAUGAGUGCAGGAAUGCUGGGAACGGUACAGGAAACAUUGCCUGGUUCAAGGACACGCAUUGAGAGCCUUUUGUGCAAUUUUGGCUUAUUUCUCAGCGCAGGGGAAGAACGUCGGUCAUCGAAAAAUACCAUUGGAAGCCACAGGGGAAAAGAUCCUAACAUACUCCACAUCUGCCCCUUCCACUUCAACCCACUAGUGUACUGUAAAGACACUGGAGGGCUGGUUCUUACAAUGCCCCUUUGGAUCUGCUCCACGGCUUUAACUAUAAUUUGUGUCACGUGUAGAAGCAAUCAAAACAUCCAUCCAUCCAUUAGCCAAACCGCUCAUCCUCAAAAGGGUAACGGGAAAGCUGGAGCCUAUCCCAGCUAGCUUCAGGCGAAAGGCGGACGACACCCUGGACUGGUUGCCAGCCAGUCACAGUGCAGAUAUUGACACCAUCACUGAGUGGAAUCAAUGCCACGCUGCCAACACCAAACUUGGAGCCAAAUGCGUUCUAGGGUGGUCCAGAUGUACAUGGGCCCUUGGCGAUGCACGGAGCUAAUAUCUGACACGUCUGACAGCACCGCCUCAAGACGGGAUGCUGCAAGCGAUGAUGGACUCAUUGAACCUGCAAG